RNAcentral lists this ribosomal RNA (547 nucleotides) under uncultured Thelebolales. RNAcentral describes it as "eukaryotic LSU rRNA". The stretch from base 184 to 337 matches the Rfam family "5.8S ribosomal RNA". The record is from RNAcentral. Lineage: Eukaryota; Fungi; Ascomycota; Leotiomycetes; Thelebolales.
GUGACCUGCGGAGGAUCAUUAAAGAGACGUUGCCCUUCGGGGUAUACCUCCCACCCAUUGUUUAUUAUACCUUUGUUGCUUUGGCAGACCCGGCUUCGGCCCACCGGCUCCGGCUGGUCAGUGUCUGCCAGAGGACCUAAAACUCUGUUUGUUAAUAUUGUCUGAGUACUAUAUAAUAGUUAAAACUUUCAACAACGGAUCUCUUGGUUCUGGCAUCGAUGAAGAACGCAGCGAAAUGCGAUAAGUAAUGUGAAUUGCAGAAUUCAGUGAAUCAUCGAAUCUUUGAACGCACAUUGCGCCCUCUGGUAUUCCGGGGGGCAUGCCUGUUCGAGCGUCAUUACAACCCUCAAGCUUUGCUUGGUAUUGGACAUUGCCAGUUUCUGGCAGGUCUUAAAAUCAGUGGCGGUGCCAUUUGGCUUCAAGCGUAGUAAUUCUUCUCGCUUUGGAGAUCCAGGUGGUUACUUGCCAAUAACCCCCAAUUUUUUCAGGUCGACCUCGGAUCAGGUAGGGAUACCCGCUGAACUUAAGCAUAUCAAUAAGCGGAGGA